RNAcentral lists this transfer RNA (58 nucleotides) under Loxodonta africana (African savanna elephant). It matches the Rfam family "tRNA", at positions 8 to 63 of the family's 71-position model. Rfam says of the family: Transfer RNA (tRNA) molecules are approximately 80 nucleotides in length. Their secondary structure includes four short double-helical elements and three loops (D, anti-codon, and T loops). The record is from Rfam by way of RNAcentral. Lineage: Eukaryota; Metazoa; Chordata; Mammalia; Proboscidea; Elephantidae.
UGGCCAGGUGGUUAAAGCACUUGGCUGCUAACCAAAAGGUUGGUGGUUCGAACCCAUC